Molecule: non-coding RNA, 96 nt
Filed under: human gut metagenome
Also listed under: 1 other name
Description: THF riboswitch
Rfam family: THF (Tetrahydrofolate) riboswitch aptamer
About the family: THF riboswitch presents a pseudoknot that joins P1-P2 and the loop of P3 and two THF binding.
Source: RNAcentral
CAGAGUAGGAAAUCAGGCGUAAAGUGUUGAACAGACGGGGAGUUGCUGUUUGAACGAAAAGCUUUAGGCUUGCGGUUUGGUUUCCGCAUCCCGCUG